Molecule: long non-coding RNA, 367 nt
Organism: Onychostruthus taczanowskii (white-rumped snowfinch)
Lineage: Eukaryota; Metazoa; Chordata; Aves; Passeriformes; Passeridae
Exons: 3
Source: RefSeq, a predicted model, not a curated record
UGAUACUUCACAUCAGAAGUUGCUGCAGCCUUGGAGAAGCAUAUGUGCUGAUUCACGUUCCAGCUCUGUUUUCUCCAGAAAAACACUCAAGAUUACAGUUAAAUUAGGAAAAACAUGAUUGGAGCAGAGUGUCCUGUGGUGGUGAGGCAGUGCUGGUCUCAGCUGACUUCCUGCUUCGCCUUGAGUCUCAUGCUCAGCUCCUGCCACCCCUAAAACAACCUCCUGCAAAAGAGCUGGCUGAGCACACAUGAACCAAAUGCAUGGAAAGGCUGAUUUUCAUAAGAGCUCCAGCUCUGAAACAUCCACUUGGCAGGACCAGCGUGGGAUCUAAAGGCUGCUGACAUUCUUUGUCUUCUGAGGAAAACAC